CCGAGUUAUACAACUCCUCAAACCCCUGUGAACAUACCUAACUUGUUGCCUCGGCGGAAUCAGCCCGCUCCGGUAAAACGGGACGGCCCGCCAGAGGACCCCUAAACUCUGUUUCUAUAUGUAACUUCCUAGUAAAACCAUAAAUAAAUCA
This 151-nucleotide unclassified non-coding RNA is filed under the name soil metagenome. Its description in RNAcentral is "partial internal transcribed spacer 1". The record is from RNAcentral.